UACGUAGGGCGCAAGCGUUGUCCGGAAUUAUUGGGCGUAAAGAGCUCGUAGGCGGCUUGUCACGUCGGGUGUGAAAGCCCGGGGCUUAACCCCGGGUCGGCAUUCGAUACGGGCAGGCUAGAGUGUGGUAGGGGAGAUCGGAAUUCCUGGUGUAGCGGUGAAAUGCGCAGAUAUCAGGAGGAACACCGGUGGCGAAGGCGGAUCUCUGGGCCAUUACUGACGCUGAGGAGCGAAGGCGUGGGGAGCGAACAGG
This 253-nucleotide ribosomal RNA is filed under the name uncultured bacterium. RNAcentral describes it as "partial 16S ribosomal RNA". It matches the Rfam family "Bacterial small subunit ribosomal RNA", at positions 524 to 776 of the family's 1533-position model. The record is from RNAcentral.